RNAcentral lists this transfer RNA (423 nucleotides) under Borrelia miyamotoi. Its description in RNAcentral is "partial 16S-23S ribosomal RNA intergenic spacer". Lineage: Bacteria; Pseudomonadati; Spirochaetota; Spirochaetia; Spirochaetales; Borreliaceae. The record is from RNAcentral.
AAAUUAAUUAUUAUUUUAACUCUUCCCUUGUUUUCUCAAAGGCUUUUUUGGGGGUUUAGCUCAGUUGGUUUAGAGCAUCGGCUUUGCAAGCCGGGGGUCAAGGGUUCSAAUCCCUUAACCUCCAUUUAUUUGUUUUUAAAUAAGUGUGAAUUAAGCCUUUUAAGAAAUGUCUUGUAUUAAAAAAGAAGCUAUUCAAACGUAUUGUUGCUUUUAAAGUGUUAUUUUUUGAUUUAUUUAGGUGAAUUUAGUAUUUUAUAUUGAGUUAACAAAUUUUUUCAUGGGCUUAAAAGGUAUGUUUUUAUGUUAUUUGUUAUCCUGAUGAAUUUCUUUUUAUGAAUUCCAAGACUUGAUUACAUGCAAAAACUUUAUCUUUAAUUAUUUUAUUCAUAUUAUCAAGAACCUUAUCAUGAAUCAACCUAAUUG